AUCCUCUAAAUCAUUUAAAUCCUCUAAAAUUAUUAGGUCCUUAAAAUGACAAAGUUAUGGAGAUAACUGAAUCAUAGCCUCCCAUUAAGGUGUUUGAUAAUGAGUCCAUUAACUCAAUAAUCAUUGCAGACCCAAAGGCCUGGUGCUUGUUGACUAAUAGAAUUAUCACUCAUCAUAUGAUGACUUGGAAGUGUCUCUCAAAUGGUGGUUAGGUGAGCC
RNAcentral lists this long non-coding RNA (219 nucleotides) under Elaeis guineensis (African oil palm). Its description in RNAcentral is "long non-coding RNA (EGUI_LNC074088)". The record is from RNAcentral. Lineage: Eukaryota; Viridiplantae; Streptophyta; Magnoliopsida; Arecales; Arecaceae.